GGGUUCUGUGAUAGAAGAGAGGUGCGGGGCAGAGGAGGGGGUGCGCACCUCUGAUUGAGUGGGUCUCAGAGGCCACUUGAGUUAUAUCUUGAAGGAUGAGUAGGUGUUCACCGAGUCCCAGUGGAAGGCAUUCUUGGCCCGGGCUAAGGCACAAUGCAGUGAAAGCUCCUGGUGAUGUAGCAAGUAGGCUUCAUGGGUAUUUGUAUCGUGUUACCUCAUCUUCUAGAACAUAAACUCUGGAACUGAAUCUCUUCAUUGAGGAGUUGCUGAGUUGAGCUGUGAAUGUGGAUCGAAGUGGACCUUAGUCCUACGUCUUUAUUUAUUUUUAUUUUUAUUUUUAUUUUUAUUUUUGUUUUAGUCCUACGUCUUUAGAAGAAGUCGAGGUGCUCUACACACCUGGUUUUAGAGUCCUAAUCAAGGAAAGAACUUCCCUAGACAUUCUCACUCUUGCCAAUGAGUAUUCUUGUAAGUGGAAGUGGACAAGUAGAAGUGGAGACUACCAAAUACAGGGCACUGAUGGACUCUUCUCCAGUGCUCUCUAAUGCUCCCCAGGAUGGUGCCACAGGGAUAGUGAGGGAGGGCACCUGCAACUGUGUGUGGUUUGUCUGCUUGAGAUCCAUGAGUUGAGAAUGGCCCCAUAGGUUAGCAUGAUGGGGAAAGGUAUAGGUCAGGGAAAACAUCAUUAGUAGCAGGUACAUUUUGUCCACAAAGAAAUACAUUUGUUUUUAAAGUAAUGUAUUAAUUGAGCAGACAUACAGGGAGCAUCUACAAUGGACUAGCACUGUGAGUGAUGAUAUAAAAAUGAACAAACACAAUCUCUGACCUCAAAAUGUUCCCAACACAUAUAUAAACAAAUGAGUGUUUUUGAAAAUCCAGAAGAUGAAAUGUGCUAAAGUAAAUGAGCCAAUAAGUAAGCAAACAAAAAAUAAAACAGGAGGUAGGAGCAGAAUACUUGAUUAAUUCAGUGGAUGGCAAAAUUACCUAUUAGAGAUACUGAAGAAUAAAAAUUCUGUGCCUUUUCACAUAAAAUAUGCUGGCUGUUCUCUGAAAGGAUCUGAGCUGGGUUUGGAAAACAAUAUAGGCAAUAUUUAGUUUGUUCAUUGUGCUUUUCAGAAAUGCCAUGACCCAUCCUUAAAUCACAAACUAAUUUUAAUUCUGCAUGUGUGAAAAGCCUUGUUUUUGAAUUAAAUUCAUUUCUUUUUAAGAGCAUGACAGUAUGUGAAAGUUAAUUUCUAUUUCCCUUGGAUAUGUACUUCUAAAUAGUAAAUUGUCUUGAGACUAGCAUGGGAGAUCUUUAAAAACAUAACAUGUUAGAGUUUAUUGAUAGAUCAAAGUAGCCUGGAUAAAAAUCUAUCUAGACCUUCCCUACUCAUACAUCCAUAAUUUUAAAUUAAUGUCUCUCAAUCAAGAACCUCUGGGGCAGGUCCCAGGAUUCUGUACUAGAUGCCAGUUCUGAAGAUGAUGCUCAUGAGCAUCCAGUUUGAGACCACUGCACUACAUCUAGAAUUGAAAUACAUAAAAUUUCCCACUUAGAGAAGAAGUAUAAUCUGGGGAUGCCUCCAUGGAUUGCUGUCUUUAUUUCCGAUAUUUUUAAUUGAGAAAGAGAAUUUUUUUUUGCGUUUCUUAAAAGAUUUUAUUUAUUCAUGAGAGAGAGAGAGAGAGAGAGAGAAAGGCAGAGACAGAGGUAGAGGGAAAAGCGGGCUCCUUGUAGGGAACCCGAUGCGGGAUUUCCUUGUAGGGAACCCGAUGCGGGAUUGAUCCAGGACUCCGGGAUCUUGCCCUGAGAGGAAGACAGAUGCUCAACCCCUGAGCCACCCAGGCGUCCCAGAAAAUUUUCUUUCUUAAUGUAUUUCUGAAAGUAGAAGAGAGUGGUGUCCACAAAUCUUUGGAGCGUUCUAAGAGAAUCACAAUCAUAGGUAAGGUUAUGCUGCUUUCCUUCCUCAUCUCACCUGUGCGAUUCAUUCUCUGUCCUCUUCUUCUCUGCAGUGGGCUCCAGGCAGCUGACCCCUUGGCUGCGACACACCUUCCCCCUUCCUCCCUGGUAGAGCCAUGUCUUCCCAGAUGGUGGCUCUGAGGGCUGGCCCCACAUCUAUGGCUCCAGCUAUCUUCAAGCUCCAGCAACUUGGUGAUGAUGGUUUCCCAGUAUUUCUCCCGUGACCCCACCCUGUAAAUAGUCUUUCCUUUCAUUUCUUCAGAAUGUCACCUGAGUGGAUCUGCUGCUG
Molecule: long non-coding RNA, 2222 nt
Filed under: Canis lupus familiaris (dog)
Lineage: Eukaryota; Metazoa; Chordata; Mammalia; Carnivora; Canidae
Description: lncRNA (ENSCAFG00030007164.1)
Source: RNAcentral